UUGAUCCCUGGCUCAGAUUGAACGCUGGCGGCAGGCCUUAACACAUGCAAGUUGAGCGGCAGCACGGGUACUUGUACCUGGUGGCGAGCGGCGGACGGGUGAGUAAUGCCUAGGAAUCUGCCUGGUAGUGGGGGAUAACGCUCGGAAACGGACGCUAAUACCGCAUACGUCCUACGGGAGAAAGCAGGGGACCUUCGGGCCUUGCGCUAUCAGAUGAGCCUAGGUCGGAUUAGCUAGUUGGUGAGGUAAUGGCUCACCAAGGCGACGAUCCGUAACUGGUCUGAGAGGAUGAUCAGUCACACUGGAAGCUGAGACACGGUCCAGACUCCUACGGGAGGCAGCAGUGGGGAAUAUUGGACAAUGGGCGAAAGCCUGAUCCAGCCAUGCCGCGYGUGUGAAGAAGGUCUUCGGAUUGUAAAGCACUUUAAGUUGGGAGGAAGGGCAGUUACCUAAUACGUAUCUGUUUUGACGUUACCGACAGAAUAAGCACCGGCUAACU
This 499-nucleotide ribosomal RNA is filed under the name Pseudomonas sp. CL1.80. RNAcentral describes it as "bacterial SSU rRNA". It matches the Rfam family "Bacterial small subunit ribosomal RNA", at positions 13 to 502 of the family's 1533-position model. Lineage: Bacteria; Pseudomonadati; Pseudomonadota; Gammaproteobacteria; Pseudomonadales; Pseudomonadaceae. The record is from RNAcentral.